CAAAUCUUUGCGAGUGCUGCGUCUACGUAGUAUCUCUCACAUUAGCACAAGGUCGCAAGGCCUUGAUGUUUACGCUUGUUUGUUUGACAGAGUUAGUUGUGACACAAUAAAAGA
This 114-nucleotide unclassified non-coding RNA is filed under the name uncultured Rozellomycota. RNAcentral describes it as "uncultured Cryptomycota sequence contains ITS1". Lineage: Eukaryota; Fungi; Rozellomycota. The record is from RNAcentral.